UACGGGGGGGGCAAGCGUUGUUCGGAAUUACUGGGCGUAAAGGGCUCGUAGGCGGCCAACUAAGUCGGAUAUGAAAUCCCCAGGCUUAACUUGGGAACUGCAUCCGAUACUGGAUGGCUUGAAUCCGGGAGAGGGAUGCGGAAUUCCAGGUGUAGCGGUGAAAUGCGUAGAUAUCUGGAGGAACACCGGUGGCGAAGGCGGCAUCCUGGACCGGCAUUGACGCUGAUGAGCGAAAGCCAGGGGAGCAAACGGG
RNAcentral lists this ribosomal RNA (253 nucleotides) under uncultured bacterium. Its description in RNAcentral is "partial 16S ribosomal RNA". It matches the Rfam family "Bacterial small subunit ribosomal RNA", at positions 524 to 776 of the family's 1533-position model. The record is from RNAcentral.